Molecule: ribosomal RNA, 253 nt
Filed under: uncultured bacterium
Lineage: Bacteria
Description: partial 16S ribosomal RNA
Rfam family: Bacterial small subunit ribosomal RNA
Source: RNAcentral
UACGGAGGGAGCUAGCGUUGUUCGGAAUUACUGGGCGUAAAGCGCACGUAGGCGGCUUUUUAAGUCAGGGGUGAAAUCCCGGGGCUCAACCCCGGAACUGCCCUUGAAACUGGAGAGCUAGAAUCUUGAAGAGGCGAGUGGAAUUCCGAGUGUAGAGGUGAAAUUCGUAGAUAUUCGGAAGAACACCAGUGGCGAAGGCGACUCGCUGGACAAGUAUUGACGCUGAGGUGCGAAAGCGUGGGGAGCAAACAGG